Long non-coding RNA from Neopsephotus bourkii (Bourke's parrot), 2042 nucleotides. RefSeq lists it as uncharacterized. The transcript is spliced from 2 exons. The record is from RefSeq and is a predicted model, not a curated record. NCBI's taxonomy places the organism in Eukaryota, Metazoa, Chordata, Aves, Psittaciformes, Psittacidae.
ACCGCCUCGGCGUUCCCAGUGAGCCUCUGCUGUGCUCUCGUUUCCCAAAAGUCCUAAAAUCCCGUCAUGGAGGCUGAGGUGAAGGCGGGCCUUUCAGGAAGCGUUUCCCAGAGGGGGCAGCCAGGGAGUCCCUGCCGGCGGCCGUGGGGGUGCCGCGGGGGCGGACCGGCGGGAGUAGCGCUGCACAGAGGGGCUCGUCAGUGCGAUUUUCGCAAGGCAGCGGGGUUUGUGAGGAGGACGUUGUCACGGGUCUUUUUUUUGCUACGAAGAUGGGAAGUGCGCAUUUUCCCCCUGGGAAUUUGGCUGUCGGUGGCUGACUGGACACUUUACUCAUGAAAGAGAACAGAGCCAGCAGUCACGUAUACCUGCUGAUAUCCUUGAGGAACCCUUGACUGGCUGGAACUCGGAUCUGCUGCUGAUACAUAAAAUGUGGUUUUGUUCUUUACAACCGUGCCUGAAGGAAUUGUUUUAAACAGUGUGCAAAAUCAAAGUAAAAUAUAUAUAUCUAUAUAAAAAAAUCAUGUACUUUAUAAUUUCAUGAUUUAAGUUGCAAAACUGCCUCGCAACUCUAUGUGUGAUUAAAAUCUCCUUAAGGUUUAAAGAUUCCCAAUGCAACGCACUUAGGGCCGAGUUUUGCAGCUCUGACGUCAGUACAUAUGUUAGCUCUAGCUUUUGUAGGAGCAAGAUGUUCCGUUUCCUCAUAGUUUUAGUUAAGAAAAUCUAGGACUAGGUGUUCAGCAUCAGUAGUUUGACAUUCCUCCUCUGAUCUUGCUGGAUGUGCUGAUUUACAUGAACUGAUCAACCAGGCCUAAGAUUUAAACCCAGACUGUUCACAUUGAAAGAUAAACACUGCUAAAUCAUUAAAUACUGCUUACAUAGCAUUCUUAAAAGUAAACACACAAAUAUUUCCAGUGUUGUAAGGACCAAAUUCUCACUGCUUUCUCUGAUUUUUCACUUCUCUGUGAAAUGCUGAUAUUAUUCUUACGCAGAAGGUUUCCUUUCUUUUUCUUUGCCUACUACAAAAUACGCUAACAUUGGAGAUUUGCCAAUGCCCUAAAUGACCUAAAGUAGAUGACCUACAUUUAGGGGAAAAGAAGGUUAAAGGCUGAAAAACAAGUUGGUUGCGUUUUUUUUUUUCCUGGAAGAUACUUUGGAGAGCAAUGAUUGGCCACAAGACCUGCUGUAGCAAAGAGUUGGGCUUUGUUUCAACCAGAGGCAAAGGGCUUUGUAACUGAAUUGAGAACUUCCCACUUCAACUGCUUGUGUCCCAAGGUACUUAACAUGAAUGUCACACAGGAACAGUUGUGAAUAAAAACAGUACUAUUGUCAUUGAAGUUGUCAUGGUCAUUAAAAGGUAGAACUGAGCUCUCAGGGAAAAUCCAGGUCCUGAGGCUUAAGUCACUCACAAAGCUCCAUAGGGGUCCUGCAGAUUUUGUGUUACACUAGAGCAGGCUCUACUUUGUUUCAUGAAGAAACAGUUCCGAAGUUAUUUAUGGUCAGCAGCAGUGUGGGCUUAUGCUAGCAAACAAAUGACCUCUAUUAACAUUCAUGUGGUUUAGAAAUCACCUUUUAAAAAUACCAAAACUUUCCAUUCUGUAUCUUAUAAAGCUGACUUACCCCAGGAAACUAUGAGUCUUCAGAGGCUUGUGAGGAUACACCAUUUUACAAAUACCCAUAAACUCUGUAGGAUUUGGGUUCUUCUAGAGACUGUGAGCAUAUCUGCUCCAAACCUUGAGUUCCUACAGUCAAGCAUCUAAAUCAUAUUUCCCACAGGAAUCGGUGCUUGAGAAAUACAACCACCUAUGUAUAAAUGUAUGUGUUACGCUGUUGACACAUAUAGGUGUGAAAGCUAGCUACAUUAGCUUCCAGCCCUGUUUCACCUCCCCACAAGCAACACUAUAACUUGCGUUGCUAUUCCACUCCCUCCUUUUCUAUUUUUUGCUGCUCACAGCUAGCAUAAGUUCCCUCAAAGCAGAUGGCUUGUGUUUUCUCUAAAUUACUAAGGGAAAAAACUCACAAAUAACACACAUGAAUAAAAACUC